Molecule: ribosomal RNA, 466 nt
Filed under: uncultured bacterium
Lineage: Bacteria
Description: partial 16S ribosomal RNA
Rfam family: Bacterial small subunit ribosomal RNA
Source: RNAcentral
GAUGAACGCUGACAGAAUGCUUAACACAUGCCAGUCCACUUGAAUUUGGGUUUUUACCUUAGGUUUGGGUGGCGGACGGGUGAGUAACGCGUAAAGAACUUGCCUCACAGCUAGGGACAACAUUUGGAAACGAAUGCUAAUACCUAAUAUUAUGAUAAUAGGGCAUCCUAUAAUUAUGAAAGCUAUAAGCGCUGUGAGAGAGCUUUGCGUCCCAUUAGCUAGUUGGAGAGGUAACGGCUCACCAAGGCGAUGAUGGGUAGCCGGCCUGAGAGGGUGAUCGGCCACAAGGGGACUGAGACACGGCCCUUACUCCUACGGGAGGCAGCAGUGGGGAAUAUUGGACAAUGGACCGAGAGUCUGAUCCAGCAAUUCUGUGUGCACGAUGAAGUUUUUCGGAAUGUAAAGUGCUUUCAGUUGGGAAGAAACAAAUGACGGUACCAACAGAAGAAGGGACGGCUAAAUACGU